GUGCUGUUGCCCCAACAGCAGAGACCGCCCCAACCAAAGACAGGUCAGUUUAAAUGUUCCUUGUCCUUCUCCCAGAGCUUCAGUGGGGUUGGCUGGCUUGCAGAGCGAAUUAAUUAAGGAGAACAACGGCCUCAGCCUGGUGCGUGCAAGAAGCCUGCUGGCAGGUUAAAAAAGCAAAACAUAAGAUGUGGCUCCCCAGCACUGUAAAAGGCACUUCUGCAAGUGAACAGGUUGGAUCCUAACAAAGUUCGAAGUCAUGGCCUGGAAGAUGAAGAAAGAAAUGAAUGGAGGCUGCAGCAGUUUCUUCAGACAGAUCUAUGCUUUCUGUGACUUUCCUAUCACAGGUCCUGAGCCCCAGCACUACACAUUCAGAUUCAACAAGUCCGGAGUAGGGCUCUAGAGCUUGCACACUUCCCGGCUCCUAGAAGAUUCUAAGAUGGGAGGCUCGUGAGCCACACCCAGAGAAACACCAUCCUGUGACCAGAGAACAGGUUAGGAUACUGAACAUCCCCUCAUCUGCAGACCAAGAAAAACUGAGUUCUUGGCUAGCAUGGAGCCUAACUUGUGUUUUAGUUAAUUCUACUUCUGUCACUGGAGGUUGGAUUAAACAGUAAGAGAACGACUUCCAUACAACCAAAGGUGAACAUAAGGUAUAAAAAACCUGCAGAUAGAAGUAGAUUCCCAAGGAGGGAAAUGCUGAAACCCAGCAAAGGAGAUGACUGCAGUUCCUGACCUGAGACUCCGUCCUAUUUCCCUUAUGACAUUACCCAGUGGUGCUUUUCCUGUUCCUAGAAAGAAAACCAACAGGGUGCAGCCUUCGGUGGGUGGGGGUCUAUGUGUGCACAAGUGCACACAGUGAUUUUUAUAUAAAAAGGCUCACCACAGGACAGCCACCAGCAGGAUGAUGCCCAGAGCACCGGCAUUCUUACCAUAGCUAAAGAAAACCCUGAGUAUUUGGCCUCUGCAACCAGGGAACAAAGGGAGUUUUGAGAUGGCUGUGCGUAAAGGAGCUGGAAGUCAUUCCAGCAUUUAGAGCUUCAAUUGAAAAUAAACAAACAGCCCAAGCCUUCCCCAGGACCCAGUCUGCCAAGCACCAGCCUGGGAGUGCACACUGGCCACUGGGGCCAGCACAUGGCUAUUUAUAUUCAUAAUCCAAUUUGGACGGGGAAGGCGCAUGAAAAUAAAUUGAUUAUCUUGAAACUGUAAGAGCAAAAUUCAUCAGGACAAAAAAGUAAUGAAAUAAUAUAGAGGAAGUACCUGAGUAGGUCAUCUGAGGGGAUGUUUCUCGUGAACUGUCUCCAACCCAGUUUGCUUUCUGGAUUCAGACACGAGAAAACUGGCUGACAAAGUUCCAGAAAUCACAUGCCAACAUGUGGAUAGAGCUUUGCUGAGUAUUUUUCCCCUUUUCUGGGUGUGUGUGUGUGAGUGUGUGUGUGUAUGUGUGUGUAUAUAUAUAUAGUUGUGUGUGUGUAUAGAUUGUUUGACAGAGGGUUGAUUAUCUCAACUCAGUUUCUAGCUGGUGAGGAAGAAAAGUGGACAGUUCAUAAAAAACAACCAUCUUUCCCAAAUCUGAGGGUCAAACACAAGGGUACAUUAUCUUGGAAACACUGGCUUUCUAUCUUAGGUCUUGCCCAUCCUCUUUUCCCUAGAGGCUAGAUUCAACUCUGCCUUCCCACAGGAACAAUAGCAACCAUUUAUGACGCGUGUGGGAUAUGUCACCGGCUGGAGAUGCACAGUCAGGAAUAACCUGGGAUGGGGACUCUCGGCCUAUUUUAAAGAUAAGGAAAUGGAGGAUCAGAAUCGAAGUGACUAACCCAACACCACCUCGCUAAUCAAGUGGGGACUUGGGAUUAGAACCCAAGUCUGUCUGGGGUUUGUGUUGUGACACCAUACUGCCUCCCUGAAAAAACCUAAGGACAGUCUCUAAAAUCAACAUUCAUUCCCAGGAAAUGGGCACUUGCUGGGGUCAAGUCGGAAGAUGGGCCUGGACGAGAGGAGGCUUGGUAAAGCACUGAUAGCUUGGAGUUGAGAAAGUAUCCCUUUCUUAGCUCAGCUCCGAAGAGUUUACAAGACAGACUUAAGGAGAAACACUUUCACGGACUGCAUCUAUGAAGGCUGGCCCUUAAUUUGAGCUUUCUUCUCUCUGUAGAUGAAUUAUUUAAAAAUAAAAUAAUUUUGAUAAAACUCAUAACCAAAAACGAGGCUCAAACCUCACCUCCAUUUAUUAUCUAUUGGUCCUGAGAAAGGAUGUAACCUGUCUAGGAUUCAGGUAAUUUGUUUUUCAAGUGAGUAGACUGAAGAGGGAUGGAUGAGGCAGGACCCUGGACCAGGGUGGCUUCUGUGGUCCCCUCUAGCAAUGAAAUUGAUGAUUCUAAUAACUAACAGAAG
This 2388-nucleotide long non-coding RNA is filed under the name Homo sapiens (human). RNAcentral describes it as "HSALNT0031107". Lineage: Eukaryota; Metazoa; Chordata; Mammalia; Primates; Hominidae. The record is from RNAcentral.